AGUUGUGAUACAUGAAAUGUCAUUUGGGUCAAUAUAAAGCAAUAAGUACAAGGUUACUGUACUGACAGCAUGCUAAAAUAAGUUCACAAUCAGGAAAAUAGUUUAAAAGUCUGAAUGUAGAAAGAGAAUGUAUAACCUGUGGUAAUGAAGACCAGUUUAUUUAUAUUUACUUGUUUUAAAGUAUUUUUCUUUUCAAGAUAUGUACACAGGAGAAAAAAUUUUGUGACAGUUUUAGAGUCUUCACCAUUGCUCCUGAUCCAUUUUGUUGCUUCUGUGUACCUUUAACAGCUUCUGACACCUACAGGUAACCUAAACAUCAUGGAUUUGAGAGGUUACUUUUUAUUUUAUUUCUAAGAUACAGUUUGGGCGUUGCAGUAAUAUGCAAGUGAAACUACAUUGUUAUUCAAAUGGAUUGUGAGAGAGAUAGAUUUUUAUUCCAUGGAAUCAUUAAAAUGUACGUAAUAGAUAAAAAGAGCCUAAUAUCAAAAAAGGAAAAGGCAGACAAACCCAUAAUGGACAUGAAAAAUAAACUUGAUUUCUAAAAUGGGAAAGAAAAUCAAGUUAAUUACUAUUAGCUGAUGCUGUGGGAAAGAAGGACAUAGCACCACAAUGACCUGCAUUUACAAGCUUUCAUUCAUGUAAAAUUUUAAGUGGAUAACACCCAGAACAUCAAUAUUUUGGCCUUACAGUAAAAAUAGAUUCUUCAGAAAAAAGACUGUUAACUUGGAACAGUAUCUUAUUUUGUUGAAUGCACUGGUCAGAAAAUUGUCGCUCUAAUACUAGCCCAAUUGUCAACAACAAAGAGCAGAGAAAAUCUCAGAGCAUGUCUUUUUUUUUCUUCCUUUUUUUUUCUUUUUUUAGAUGCAAGGUGGAGGUGAGGUGAAGGACUGCCGGUUUAUUUUUAUAUUGCCUUCUUGACUACCCUUCUGAUGCUCAGGAACAACCUGUCUUCUGUGUAUUAGCUGUGAAAGCUCAGAAGAACUUCCUAGACAGGAACAUGUGAGGACGCAGUCUUUUGUGAGCCAGUCAAGUGGAGACAGUUAUGGGAAAAUGCAGGAGAUCAGGAUGCAGUUGCACAAAUGCUGUAAGUUGGACGUCACUGAAAGAAGAGUGUGGUUUCUGUUUGGUUAACGGCAUGUGAAUGAACAAAGACUUCAGCCACUGGAGAUGAGAUGGCAAAAUAGAAACAAGGAUGCACAGCAAUUGGUAGAGAAAGAGUGAACCAAUGUGUCAGUGGCAUGGGUGUACAGAGGUUGAGAAGAUGCAAACAGAUGCCUUGGUUGAGCCCAUCUAUCAGAUUCUAUACUCAGUUGAAAAUUAUGUCUAAGUGGGAGUCAAAUGCUGACACCAGAAAGCAGACAAUUGCAUCUUGGUGGUAUUCUACAUUUAUGAGUCUCUCUUGUGCCUGGCCAAGGAAAAGGAAAGAACUUGUAAGAGAUUCUGCCUGCAAAGCUCCACAUGGAAUGGAGCUGAUACGAAUCAAGCUUGCUUUUUUAGUACAUCUAUCUGCAAAUAGCUACAGUGUAGUACAAACAGACAUAAUAAUCCAGAUUAUAUUGGAAGAUUGAUUAAUGGGAACAUUACUCAUAUACUCAGUGCAUGACAUUUCCUAUUAGUUGUUCAUAUCAUUUGAGAGUUAAAGGAUAUAAAUACUUAGGAACUUCCCAGCAGUUGGGUUGCCACCUGUCUGCUGAACACAUUAAAGGCGGAAAAGUGUGAGUUGUAUUCCAUUUAAGAAUGCUGUAGCUAUCUGUGGGACUCUGAAUAACGUUUCUGACACUGUCAGGGGAAAAUUUUCCAUAGCAGUCUCAACUCAGAUUCAGCAAUAGGGUUUUUUCUCCCUGACAUAGCUAGAAAUUUAAAGGAUGUUAACAAAGGCAGAGGUAGUGGGGCUGAUGCUUCUUGCAAUAGGACAAGUAAUUAGAGAGCUAAGGACUAUAUAUAUGCAACCAAAGUGAACACUUAGCAAACAGCUGUCAAUCUUUGUAUAGAUUCAUUGCUUCCUCGGUUAGUAUUUAUACCUGACAUUGUAGCAGUUGUUUAAUAAAAAACUCAUUUGCGUGAAGAACUGGAGAUGGUAAAAACCAAAAAAUAUCUACAACAAACACACAUGAAAAUCCCCCACCUGCAUUUCUUUUUGUAAAACGCCUGUCAAACACAUGGCAAAGCUAUUCUGUAGCAUGACAUCACUUGGUUCUAUGAAAUGACUACUGAUGGGUCUGUUCACAACAUCUAUAAUUAUCUACUUACCUCUAAGUUUCAGUAAUUUUGAGCAGCAGACUGAUGUAAAUGUUUCAAAUCAGCUUCUGGAGAUGCCUUUGAAACCAAACAGACUAACACCUAACAUGGGCAUCAACAUAUGUAUGUCAGGCUUUCUUCUGUAGCUUAACCUGGGCCCUAAAGUUACGGAAAAUACUUGGAGAAAACUCCUGAAUGUCCUAUUUGUAAACACAUAGCUGUGGAUCUCAAGGUAUUGUGGAGAGGAUGAAAGCUCCUCUUGCUAUAGGUUUACUACCCUUAAAUUACUUCAUAGCAUCAUUUAGCACUUUUGUAGAGAUAUGCCUCAGUAGAUAGAAACCACUAGUCUCUCUCAUGGAGACCUGUAGAGGGGGAGCCAUUCAGGAAUUAGUAAACUUUAAUGUACUGCUCCUGGGUCUGACAGCAAACCUGCCAGGGACCAUGUAGGAAAGGAGCACAGUGCCACAGACAGCUUCUGCUGUGUGCAGAACUACCCUGUACAGUCUGACCAUGAGUGGUUUGUAACACAAGACAGCAGGGAUGUACAGGAGGCAAGAUAUUUUGUACAGUUGUCUGAAACUCUAGUGUUAGUCCCUACUUUUGGAAGGACAGUAUAGUCCUCGGUCCCAAAUUCUAAAGGGAAAUCCUGAGAUAGAAGUUAAAAAAGACCACUUGCUUAGAAAAAACAGGUAACUCGAUUUCUGUGCUGGUGUUUCACAAAGCCCAUUUGCUUCUUCUCUUGGAUCAGCCUUGUCUGAAAUUUGUUUAAAAGUAUUGUAAAAUUUAAAAGAAAAAAUAAACGUUUAAUGUGUAGUUUUUUAAUUACGGUCCUUUUACACACGGGGGAAUACACACACAGCCCAUCCCUGCCCUCAU
Molecule: long non-coding RNA, 3114 nt
Organism: Pseudopipra pipra
Lineage: Eukaryota; Metazoa; Chordata; Aves; Passeriformes; Pipridae
Exons: 4
Source: RefSeq, a predicted model, not a curated record